RNAcentral lists this transfer RNA (88 nucleotides) under Rhizobium sp. MHM7A. RNAcentral's name for it is "tRNA-Ser". It matches the Rfam family "tRNA". From Rfam's summary of the family: Transfer RNA (tRNA) molecules are approximately 80 nucleotides in length. The record is from RNAcentral. Lineage: Bacteria; Pseudomonadati; Pseudomonadota; Alphaproteobacteria; Hyphomicrobiales; Rhizobiaceae.
GGAGAGGUGGCUGAGUGGUCGAAAGCACUCGCUUGGAAAGCGAGUGAACCUCCGGGUUCCGCAAGUUCGAAUCUUGUCUUCUCCGCCA